AGCCUCUAUGCAUCCAGAUUCCCUACACAGGAAGGGCUCUUAAUUUUGAACACAACUCCAGCUGCUUGAGACAUUUUUCUAAUAACCUAGCAACUAGAUGCAAUUGUUCAACUCUAAUGCUUUGUGGAAAUGUGUCACCACUAGCCAGGCAGAACAUACCAGGCAGGAUAUGCGCAAUGAUUACUUAUAGGUUUCAUUUAAUUUGCUUGAGAAGUACUUGGAAGCACACUCAAAGGCCUCCAUGUGGGAAAAUGAGCUCCUGGAUGUAGGCUACCAGCCUCUGUGCAUCCAAAUUCCCUACACAGUAAGGCUCUUAAUUUUGAACUAAGAACUCCAGCCUCACGUUUUGUUUCCUUAGUUGGUAUAAGGCUUACUCCUUGCAUAUUAUUUUUUCUGUUAGUCGUGUACUCUAUGUUAGAUGGCUUACUCUAAGUAACAUUUAUUUUUAUACUUCUUGAUACACUUGAUAAGGAUAUUAAUUUGUUCUCCAUGAGA
This is a non-coding RNA of Vigna umbellata (rice bean), 495 nucleotides long. The record is from RefSeq and is a predicted model, not a curated record. NCBI's taxonomy places the organism in Eukaryota, Viridiplantae, Streptophyta, Magnoliopsida, Fabales, Fabaceae.